Long non-coding RNA from Pantherophis guttatus, 191 nucleotides. RefSeq lists it as uncharacterized. The record is from RefSeq and is a predicted model, not a curated record. Lineage: Eukaryota; Metazoa; Chordata; Lepidosauria; Squamata; Colubridae.
CCCCCAAGCAAAAAGACCUUGGAUAGAAAGGGAACUAUGUACAACAAUGUUGAUGAAGAAUCCAUCUACAGCUAAGCGAUCUGAAGACAAUCAUUCAUUCAGUAUGGGAAUGAUUUUCCAAGCCUUUCAUCUCCAAAGGCAACACCAAGCAUAUCAUUUAGCCAAUAAACUUCUAUUUAUUUUGAGUUACA